This is a long non-coding RNA of Arabidopsis lyrata subsp. lyrata, 969 nucleotides long. RefSeq lists it as uncharacterized. The transcript has 3 exons. The record is from RefSeq and is a predicted model, not a curated record. Lineage: Eukaryota; Viridiplantae; Streptophyta; Magnoliopsida; Brassicales; Brassicaceae.
AAACAAAAUAAGCCAAUCAUAAUGUUUCACUCGGAUUGCUGAUGUGGCGAGAUCUCAGCCAUUCAUCGGAUCUAAUUUACUCAAUCCAAUCAAUAAGUAAUACUCAGAUACAUGACGUGGCGAGAUCUCAUCCUUUCAAUAGCUUUGGCGGCUGCAUGUUUAAGGUAAUCUCAUCCGUUCAUCGCCUAACUAAGUCUUUGGCGAGAACAAAAUUAACAUUUUCUCUUCAACCUCUCAUCCGUUCUUCACCAUUCAUUGCCAUCUCCGACUCGAAUCUGAGAGAACCAAAGAAGAAGAUGAAGAAGAAGAAUGGUGCCGUUGUUGAAAUCGAUCGUAGUCUUUUGAUUUGAUUAGAGAUCAUAAGCCCUAAUUUUCCGACAUACGUCUCUUCCGGUGUUUUCCAGCUCAUCUCACGGAAGAUUUAUCUCUCUUUGUGAAUUCCAGGUUCAUUCAAUUGUGAUAUGGUGUUUCUCUUAGGAUUUGGUGCAAAAGGGAGCGAGAAACAUAGCUUUUAGUAAAUCAACUAGCGAGGAUUUAACAAUCUGCAUCUUCUGUUAGAAUCGAUUAGGAUCUGAAGCUCCUUUAUCGUCUCCUCAGAGAGAAAGGUUAGCUUUACAAGAUAAUGGCGGAGGAAAGAUGCCAUUGAAGCCAAUUAUACAUUUUCAGACAUGGAGAGUUGGGAUCCUUGUCUUUCUUCUUGGGAAUUGCCUCAAUUUCAUUUCGUUUGGCUAUGCUGCUCAGGUCAAUGUGCAGAGUGAAGUUAACUCAGUCAUGGCGAGACUCGAUCGUCAUGUGAAAGAUGCUGAGGUUUUGAUUACAAGUGGUCUUCUUCAAGAUAACGGAAUCGUCGUUUUUCGAUUCUCGAUUUCGUCUAAGAAAGAAGCUAUUUUUUAUUUAUUUUGAGAAUGUAUUUUAGUUUUGGGAUUAAUUACUGUAUUUUUAUUUUGUAAUAUAAAUUCUUUUUAUCAA